CCCCGGAAGCGGCGGGGUCGCCAUGGGCAGAGCAGUGACAGUAGCCGCGUGCGCCCUCAAUCAGUGGGCCCUCGAUUUUGAGGGCAACCUGAAGAGGAUCGUCAGAAGUAUUGGCAUCGCAAAGAGCAGUGGAGCCCGCUACCGGCUCGGUCCGGAGCUGGAGAUCUGUGGUUAUGGGUGCUUGGAUCACUACUAUGAGUCUGACACACUCCUGCAUUCAUUUCAAGUUCUGGCAAAACUUUUGGAGUCUCCAGCUACCCAAGAUAUUAUCUGCGAUGUGGGAAUGCCUGUUCUGCACAGAAAUGUUCGCUACAAUUGUCGAGUGAUCUUUUUAAAUAAAAAAAUUCUUCUGAUUAGACCAAAAAUAUCAUUGGCAAAUACAGGAAACUACAGGGAACUUCGAUGGUUUACCCCGUGGACCAAAACAAGGCAUGUAGAGGAGUAUUUUCUACCCAGGAUAAUUCAGGAAGUAACUGGUCAGGAAACUGUUCCUUUUGGGGAUGCAGUGCUAGCAACCAAAGAUACCUGCCUGGGAGCAGAAAUAUGUGAAGAACUCUGGGCACCAAACAGCCCUCAUAUUGAAAUGGGACUGGAUGGUGUGGAAAUCUUUGCUAACUCUUCAGGGAGUCACCAUGUGCUGCGGAAGGCUCACACCAGGGUGGAUUUGGUGAAUUCUGCCACAGCAAAGAAUGGUGGAAUAUAUAUUUUAGCUAACCAGAAAGGCUGUGACGGUGAUCGUCUGUAUUAUGAUGGCUGUGCCAUGAUUUCGAUGAAUGGAGAAACGGUUGCACAAGGAUCCCAGUUUUCACUCGAUGAUGUGGAGGUGCUGGUGGCCACUCUGGACUUGGAAGAUGUUCGAAGUUACAGAGCAGAGAUUUCUUCUCGUAACUUAGCGGCAAGUAAAGUAAAUCCUUAUCCCAGAGUAAAAGUGAAUUUUGCUCUGUCAAGUUCUGAUGAUAUAGCUGUACCUACUUGUAUGCCAAUCAAGUGGAGACAUCAUAGUCCUGAGGAGGAGAUCAGCCUUGGUCCUGCAUGCUGGCUGUGGGACUAUUUAAGGCGUAGCAAACAGGCGGGAUUCCUCCUACCUCUUAGUGGUGGAAUUGACAGCUCUGCUACAGCUUGCAUAGUAUAUUCUAUGUGUCACCAGGUUUGCCUGGCAGUCAAGAAUGGAAAUGCAGAUGUGCUGGCUGACGUGUGCAGGAUUGUGAAUGAUGAGACCUAUGUCCCUGAGGAUCCUCGAGAGUUUUGCAAGCGUGUCUUUACCACUUGCUAUAUGGCUAGUGAGAACUCGUCCCAGGAUACUUGCAACAGGGCAAAACUCCUGGCUGAGCAAAUAGGCAGCUACCACAUCAAUCUGAACAUAGAUGCGGCUGUGAAAGCUAUUGUGGGAAUUUUCAGCAUGGUGACGGGUCGAACUCCCCUGUUUUCUGUCUUUGGAGGGAGCAAAAGAGAAAACCUGGCUCUCCAGAAUGUUCAGGCUAGAAUAAGAAUGGUCCUUGCCUACCUGUUUGCCCAGCUGACACUAUGGACUCGUGGGAUGCCAGGGGGACUUCUGGUGCUAGGAUCAGCCAAUGUGGAUGAAAGUCUCCGAGGUUACCUGACAAAGUAUGAUUGCUCAAGUGCUGAUAUCAAUCCCAUUGGUGGAAUCAGCAAGACUGAUCUGAAGAACUUCAUUCAGUAUUGCAUUGAAAAUUUUCACCUCACAGCCCUCAGAAGUAUCAUGUCAGCUCCACCCACUGCAGAGUUAGAGCCCCUGGUGGAUGGACAAGUGGCUCAAACUGAUGAGGUGGAUAUGGGAACGACAUAUGCAGAGCUCUCCAUCUAUGGCAAAUUAAGAAAAAUUGCAAAGGCUGGACCAUACAGUAUGUUCUGUAAGCUGAUUAACAUGUGGAAGGAAAUUUGUGCUCCAAGAGAGGUGGCAUCAAAGGUUAAGCAUUUCUUCAGGAUGUAUUCACUUAACAGACAUAAAAUGACCACCCUCACUCCUUCCUACCAUGCUGAAAACUACAGUCCAGAUGACAACCGGUUUGACCUGAGGCCUUUCCUUUAUAACAGUACAUGGUCCUGGCAAUUUAGGUGUAUAGAUGAAGAGGUGCCGGAAUGUUCAUUGGGAUUUUAAUAGCUGGCAUAAUAUGAAGGACCAGUGACACAGCGCAGAAGAAAGCUGCCAUGCUUGCCCCUGAUGAUUACGUAUCCAAGCUAGAAAAAAAGGAAGAAAUUUCUCUAGUUGAAGAUACGGACUGAUUUGCUGUCUUGUUUAACUGUGGUAAUUAACUUGCUAAGCAGAAUAGCAGAAUGUUCAAAACAGGACUAAUAUUGUGAUGAUGGGCAGAGAUGACCCAAACAGUUGUUGACAUGACCAUAGUAAAUGGUAUUUGUAAUUUUUUUGGUUUUGUUUUGAUUGACUUCCCAUUUUAUUCCCAAUAUACUUACACUGUAGUUUGGCUAAGGAAUCAUUUAUUAAGGAUUUUCUUCAACUUCCUGAGUUAAUAGCCUUUAAUGAAAAAUAUUUGGGUAUCAACCAUAAAUAAAUGCAGGGUACUUACUGUUCCGUGAAAGUGAAUACAUACACAAGUAGUAAGCUUGGUUCUGACAACUUGGGAUAUGAUUUUUGAAAACAUUUAGCUGAAAGUAUAAAAUUUUAACAGCUCUGGCAUAUGCUGUAGAGGGGAAAAACUCAUUUUACUUUGCAAUAAACUUGUAAUUUUGUAAUGCUAA
This is an RNA transcript of Pezoporus flaviventris, 2718 nucleotides long. It is a transcript of the gene named NAD synthetase 1, with no coding region annotated. The record is from RefSeq and is a predicted model, not a curated record. Lineage: Eukaryota; Metazoa; Chordata; Aves; Psittaciformes; Psittacidae. The transcript has 22 exons.